AGAGUUGAUCCUGGCUCAGAUUGAACGCUAACGGCACGCUUAACACAUGCAAGUCGAACGGCAGCGGGAGAAAGCUUGCUUUCUUGCCGGCGAGUGGCGGACGGGUGAGUAAUGCAUAGGAACUUGCCAUUCAGAGAGGGAUAACUCGGGGAAACCCGAGCUAAUACCGCAUAAACUCUACGGAGAAAAGGAGGGGAUUUUCGAAAGGAAACCUUUCACUGAAUGAGAGGCCUAUGUUGGAUUAGCUAGUUGGUAGGGUAAAGGCCUACCAAGGCGACGAUCCAUAGCUGGUCUGAGAGGACGACCAGCCACACUGGAACUGAGACACGGACCAGACUCCUACGGGAGGCAGCAGUGGGGAAUCUUGGACAAUGGGGGAAACCCUGAUCCAGCGAUGCCGUGUGUGUGAAGAAGGCCUAAGGGUUGUAAAGCACUUUAGGUAGGGAGGAGAGUUAUUGACUGAAUAAGUUGAUAAUAAGACGUUACCUACAAAAUAAGCACCGGCUAACUCUGUGCCAGCAGCCGCGGUAAUACAGAGGGUGCAAGCGUUAAUCGGAAUGAUUGGGCGUAAAGGGCGCGUAGGCGGUAAGAAAAGUUGGAUGUGAAAUCCCUGGGCUUAACCUAGGAAGAGCAUUCAAAACUGACAAACUAGAGUUCAGUAGAGGGAAGUGGAAUUUCCAGUGUAGCGGUGAAUGCGUAGAUAUUGAAGGAACAUCAGUGGCGAAGCGGCUUCCUGGACUGAACUGACGCUGAGCGCGAAAGCAUGGGGAGCAAACAGGAUUAGAUACCUGGUAGUCCAUGCUGUAAACGAUGAGAACUA
This 820-nucleotide ribosomal RNA is filed under the name uncultured bacterium. Its description in RNAcentral is "bacterial SSU rRNA". It matches the Rfam family "Bacterial small subunit ribosomal RNA", at positions 8 to 818 of the family's 1533-position model. The record is from RNAcentral.